CCUACGGGGGGCAGCAGUGGGGAAUAUUGGACAAUGGGAGGAACCCUGAUCCAGCCAUGCCGCGUGUGUGAAGAAGGCCCUCGGGUUGUAAAGCACUUUCAGUGAGGAAGAACGCCUGGUGGUUAAUACCCAUCAGGAAAGACAUCACUCACAGAAGAAGCACCGGCUAACUCCGUGCCAGCAGCCGCGGUAAUACGGAGGGUGCGAGCGUUAAUCGGAAUUACUGGGCGUAAAGCGCGCGUAGGUGGCUUGAUAAGCCGGUUGUGAAAGCCCCGGGCUCAACCUGGGAACGGCAUCCGGAACUGUCAAGCUAGAGUGCAGGAGAGGAAGGUAGAAUUCCCGGUGUAGCGGUGAAAUGCGUAGAGAUCGGGAGGAAUACCAGUGGCGAAGGCGGCCUUCUGGACUGACACUGACACUGAGGUGCGAAAGCGUGGGUAGCAAACAGGAUUAGAUACCCGUGUAGUC
Molecule: ribosomal RNA, 465 nt
Filed under: Vreelandella stevensii
Lineage: Bacteria; Pseudomonadati; Pseudomonadota; Gammaproteobacteria; Oceanospirillales; Halomonadaceae
Description: partial 16S ribosomal RNA
Rfam family: Bacterial small subunit ribosomal RNA
Source: RNAcentral